RNAcentral lists this ribosomal RNA (500 nucleotides) under uncultured bacterium. Its description in RNAcentral is "partial 16S ribosomal RNA". It matches the Rfam family "Bacterial small subunit ribosomal RNA", at positions 30 to 523 of the family's 1533-position model. The record is from RNAcentral.
AUUGAACGCUGGCGGCAUGCCUUACACAUGUAAGUCGAACGGCAGCACGGGAGCAAUCCUGGUGGCGAGUGGCGAACGGGUGAGUAAUAUAUCGGAACGUGCCCAGUCGUGGGGGAUAACGCAGCGAAAGCUGUGCUAAUACCGCAUACGAUCUACGGAUGAAAGCGGGGGAUCGCAAGACCUCGCGCGAUUGGAGCGGCCGAUAUCAGAUUAGCUAGUUGGUGGGGUAAAGGCCCACCAAGGCGACGAUCUGUAGCUGGUCUGAGAGGACGACCAGCCACACUGGAACUGAGACACGGUCCAGACUUCUACGGGAGGCAGCAGUGGGGAAUUUUGGACAAUGGGCGCAAGCCUGAUCCAGCAAUGCCGCGUGCAGGAUGAAGGCCUUCGGGUUGUAAACUGCUUUUGUACGGAACGAAACGGCCCUUUCUAAUACAGGGGGCUAAUGACGGUACCGUAAGAAUAAGCACCGGCUAACUACGUGCCAGCCGCCGCAGUAA